UACGUAGGUGGCAAGCGUUGUCCGGAUUUACUGGGUGUAAAGGGCGUGUAGGCGGAGAUGCAAGUCAGGAGUGAAAUCUAGGGGCUCAACCCCUAAACUGCUUUUGAAACUGUAUCCCUUGAGUAUCGGAGAGGCAGGCGGAAUUCCUAGUGUAGCGGUGAAAUGCGUAGAUAUUAGGAGGAACACCAGUGGCGAAGGCGGCCUGCUGGACGACAACUGACGCUGAGGCGCGAAAGCGUGGGGAGCAAACAGG
RNAcentral lists this ribosomal RNA (253 nucleotides) under uncultured Oscillospiraceae bacterium. Its description in RNAcentral is "partial 16S ribosomal RNA". It matches the Rfam family "Bacterial small subunit ribosomal RNA", at positions 524 to 776 of the family's 1533-position model. The record is from RNAcentral. Lineage: Bacteria; Bacillati; Bacillota; Clostridia; Eubacteriales; Oscillospiraceae.